GCUUGUCUCAAAGAUUAAGCCAUGCAUGUCUAAGUAUAAACGACUUUAUACUGUGAAACUGCGAAUGGCUCAUUAUAUCAGUUAUAGUUUAUUUGAUGGUCCUUGCUACUUGGAUAACCGUAGUAAUUCUAGAGCUAAUACAUGCAUUAAACCCCGACUUCUGGAAGGGGUGUAUUUAUUAGAUAACAGACCAAUAUUCCUCGUGUCUAUUGUGGUGAAUCAUAGUAACUGAUCGGAUCGCAUGGGCUACGCCCGCGACAAACCAUUCAAGUUUCUGCCCCAUCAGCUUUCGAUGGUAGUGUAUUGGACUACCAUGGCUUUUACGGGUAACGGAGGAUUAGGGUUCGAUUCCGGAGAGGGAGCCUGAGAAACGGCUACCACAUCCAAGGAAGGCAGCAGG
This 400-nucleotide ribosomal RNA is filed under the name uncultured Strobilidiidae. RNAcentral describes it as "partial small subunit ribosomal RNA". It matches the Rfam family "Eukaryotic small subunit ribosomal RNA", at positions 30 to 432 of the family's 1831-position model. The record is from RNAcentral. Lineage: Eukaryota; Ciliophora; Spirotrichea; Choreotrichida; Strobilidiidae.